Molecule: ribosomal RNA, 1402 nt
Filed under: metagenome
Description: bacterial LSU rRNA
Rfam family: Bacterial large subunit ribosomal RNA
Source: RNAcentral
CUGAGCCAGGAUUAAACUCUAGGAGAAGAGUUGGCAAAUCCGCUCUUUAAUCUGAAGACGUGAUGUGGACUGAAAAUAAGUAGGGAAGCACGUGAGCUGACUGUCAAGAAAAGCCGCUAUUGUUUGCAGGAUACCCGUACCGUAAACCGACACAGGUGGAUGAGGAGAGAAUCCUAAGGCCGACGGGAGAAGCAUUGUUAAGGAACUCGGCAAAAUGACUCCGUGACUUCGGGAGAAGGAGUGCCAGUAAGAUGGCCGCAGAGAAUUGGCCCAAGCAACUGUUUAGCAAAAACACAGGUCUAUGCAAAACCGAAAGGUGAGGUAUAUGGGCUGACGCCUGCCCGGUGCUGGAAGGUUAAGGGGAGAGGUUAGCGCAAGCGAAGCUUUGAACUUAAGCCCCAGUAAACGGCGGCCGUAACUAUAACGGUCCUAAGGUAGCGAAAUUCCUUGUCGGGUAAGUUCCGACCCGCACGAAAGGCGUAAUGAUUUGGGCACUGUCUCAACAAUGCACCCGGUGAAAUUGAAAUACCAGUGAAGAUGCUGGUUACCUGCGCCAGGACGGAAAGACCCCAUGGAGCUUUACUCCAGCUUGAUACUGGGAUUCGGUAUUGCAUGUACAGGAUAGGUGGGAGGCUAGGAAAUGGUAACGCCAGUUGCCAUGGAGCCAAUGUUGGGAUACCACCCUUGCAGUACUGGGUUCCUAACCAGCAGCCGUGAUCCGGCUGGGGGACAAUGUCAGGUGGGGAGUUUGACUGGGGCGGUCGCCUCCGAAAGGGUAUCGGAGGCGCUCAAAGGUUCCCUCAGAAUGGUUGGAAACCAUUCGAAGAGUGCAAAGGCAGAAGGGAGCUUGACUGCGACACCGACGGGUGGAGCAGGUACGAAAGUAGGACUUAGUGAUCCGGUGGUAUAAAGUGGGAUUGCCAUCGCUCAACGGAUAAAAGCUACCCUGGGAUAACAGGCUUAUCACUCCCAAGAGUUCACAUCGACGGAGUGGUUUGGCACCUCGAUGUCGGCUCAUCGCAUCCUGGGGCUGAAGUAGGUCCCAAGGGUUGGGCUGUUCGCCCAUUAAGGCGGUACGCGAGCUGGGUUCAGAACGUCGUGAGACAGUUCGGUCCCUAUCCGGCGUGGGCGUAAGAUAUUUGAGAGGAGCUGUCCUUAGUACGAGAGGACCGGGAUGGACUGGCCGCUGGUGUAUCUGUUGUCUUACCAAAGGCAUAGCAGAGUAGCCAAGCCGGGAAGGGAUAAACGCUGAAGGCAUCUAAGCGUGAAGCCCCCCUCAAGAUGAGAUAUCUCAUAACGUCAAGUUAGUAAGACCUCUUGAAGACGACGAGGUAGAUAGGGCAGAGGUGGAAGUGUGGUAACACAUGGAGCUGACUGUUACUAAUAGGUCGAGGGCAUAACC